CGCUUUUGCCAGGGGUGCGUUUAUUCGCUGAGAAAAUGAAAGUCAUUUAACCCUUUGAACCUGUCUGAUUAAUAUCAACGAAGGAAGGCCCAUGAUCACAUCU
Molecule: non-coding RNA, 103 nt
Filed under: Gammaproteobacteria bacterium
Lineage: Bacteria; Pseudomonadati; Pseudomonadota; Gammaproteobacteria
Description: TPP sequence
Rfam family: TPP riboswitch aptamer (THI element)
About the family: Vitamin B(1) in its active form thiamin pyrophosphate (TPP) is an essential coenzyme that is synthesised by coupling of pyrimidine and thiazole moieties in bacteria. The previously detected thiamin-regulatory element, thi box was extended, resulting in a new, highly conserved RNA secondary structure, the THI element, which is widely distributed in eubacteria and also occurs in some archaea.
Source: RNAcentral